RNAcentral lists this ribosomal RNA (351 nucleotides) under uncultured bacterium. Its description in RNAcentral is "partial 16S ribosomal RNA". It matches the Rfam family "Bacterial small subunit ribosomal RNA", at positions 338 to 681 of the family's 1533-position model. The record is from RNAcentral.
CCUACGGGGGGCAGCAGUAGGGAAUCUUCCACAAUGGACGAAAGUCUGAUGGAGCAACGCCGCGUGAGUGAAGAAGGGUUUCGGCUCGUAAAGCUCUGUUGGUAGUGAAGAAAGAUAGAGGUAGUAACUGGCCUUGAGUGGACGGUAAUUACGGAGAAAGUCACGGCUAACUACGUGCCAGCAGCCGCGGUAAUACGUAGGUGGCAAGCGUUGUCCGGAUUUAUUGGGCGUAAAGCGAGUGCAGGCGGUUCCAUAAGUCUGAUGUGAAAGCCUUCGGCUCAACCGGAGAAUUGCAUCCGAAACUGUUGAACUUGAGUGCAGCAGCGGCGAGUGGAACUCCAUGUGUAGCGG